UACGGGGGGAGCAAGCGUUGUUCGGAUUUACUGGGCGUAAAGGGCGCGUAGGCGGCCAGCACAAGUCAGUUGUGAAAUCUCCGAGCUUAACUCGGAACGGUCAACUGAUACUGUGCGGCUAGAGUGCAGAAGGGGCAACUGGAAUUCUUGGUGUAGCGGUGAAAUGCGUAGAUAUCAAGAGGAACACCUGCGGCGAAGGCGGGUUGCUGGCUGACACUGACGCUGAGGCGCGAAAGCUAGGGGAGCGAACGGG
This 253-nucleotide ribosomal RNA is filed under the name uncultured bacterium. Its description in RNAcentral is "partial 16S ribosomal RNA". It matches the Rfam family "Bacterial small subunit ribosomal RNA", at positions 524 to 776 of the family's 1533-position model. The record is from RNAcentral.